AUGAAGGCGUCUAUCAAGUUCCGCGACGACGACCGGCCGCUGAUGCGGGCCAAGGUGCCGAUCGGCGUGCUCGGGCUGCCGUUCCAGUCCGGCCUCUCCGCUGGCGGCGAUCCCCGGGAGCUCCGCUUCGAUCUCUCCACCGCUUUCGCCUCCGGGCCAGCUCUCCGCUUAUCGUAUCGCCCCAACGACCCUGGUCUCCCCUUCGCCAUCUCCAUCCGCGCCGGUGCCGGAGCCCUCGGCUCCCCUGUCCGGGCCCCCUUCUUCCUCGCCGCCGAGUUCAACCUCCUCUCUGCCAACUCUGGAUCUCCUGGCUUCUUCCUCCUCCUCAAGCCCCGCCUUGGCGAUUUCUCACUUUCCCACACGCUCCGGUCGUCCACGUCUCCUCCGCCCCGUACGGUCGGGGUGGUCUCCGACGGCGAAGGGCGCGACCGCGAGGACGAGCUGAGCUACAAGGCGUUCUCGUUGAGCGGGAGCGGGUUCGCGGCGGACGUUGCCGCGGCGGGGAGGAGCGGCGGCGUCGGCGCGCUGCUGUCCGGGAUGCGGUUGACCACGAGGAGCGUGCUCCCGCUCUGGGGCAGGGCGAGCAUGCGGUUCAACUGGGGGAUCCGCGCGCCACCGGGGCUGCAGGCAGCGUUCGCCGACGACCGCAAGGACGCGCGCGUGCCCGUCUGCAAGAUGCCGCUGCUGGUCAUCAACAAGAUCUCCAUCGAGCAGGCGCCACACGCCGACAAGAAGAAAGACAGCAAAGCAGAUGUAGAUGUCUCGCUGCCUGCCAUCGACGCCACGGACGCGUUGGAUAGAGCGGGUCACGCCGCCGACGGCGAGGGGUUCUCACUGAUGAGGCGGCAACUGGAGGCGAUGAACGCGGAGAGCGGGAUGCUCCGCCGCGCCGUGGACGAGCUGCGCACCGAGAUCGGGCGCGGCAGGGCCGCGUCCGUGGCAGCGGUAGGGAGGCCGCCGCCACAGCCGCAUCACGGGUUCUCGGUGAAGCCGGAUCGUCGGGGCGGUGGGAAGGAGCCAGCGGCGGAGAACUCAGCGAUGCCAGCGCCGGACGAGGUGGGGGAGGAGUUGAAGAGGGCACUGGAGGCGCGCCGGAGAUGA
RNAcentral lists this ribosomal RNA (1101 nucleotides) under Triticum aestivum (bread wheat). RNAcentral's name for it is "partial small subunit ribosomal RNA". The record is from RNAcentral. Lineage: Eukaryota; Viridiplantae; Streptophyta; Magnoliopsida; Poales; Poaceae.